GGAGCCCUUUCUCAGUGUGGGUCAUUUUCUGUUUGAUUUUGAAUUUGUCCACGCUGUGAUGGACCAGGGCUCUCUGGGGUCCUGAAAUGUCUCCUGUCAUGAGAAGGGAUGUGGAUGGGAAGAGAAAGCACACGAUGCAGUAAACAAAGGGAACAGACCAGCGACCUGACUUCGAGAAGGUCGGGAGCCUGAAGAAAACCUGUGGUUGGCCUGAGCAUCAUCAUGGUUCCUGGCGUCUCCUGUGAGCACACAGUGAGCGCUAUUUUUUGAACACUACUAUGUGCCAGCUACUGUCCUGGGUGCUAGAGAUACCUCAGUGGACAACACAGACACGUGCGGUGCCCUAGCACACUUCGGGGGCAGAUGCUGCUUCAUUAAGGGUUGGAUGAUAGCUGGAGCUCUUCCACUCACUCCCAUCUUUCUGUACCUUAUCCUCUUCUGCAACUAGUAGAAGAAAAAGUAGCUCAAGCCUCUUUCUCUGACACCGUGAGCCUUGGUCCUCAGUGCUCCCCUUGCCUCCCCCCCGCCCUUCAUCACAGAAUUACCUUUGCCCUCUUGGAUCCCACCUUUGUCCUUGCACGUAGUCCUGUUGUAGGACUGAUCACGAUGAAUUUCUAUUGUAUUCUUACCUGUCUGUCUCCCCUACAAGGAGGUGAGCUGCAUCACACCUAACCACACAUGUGGAUCAAUUCCAUGAGGAACGGCCCCUAAGGAACUAUGCAGUUAACUGAAUUUCAGUCAUUAGGUUGACCAGUACAGUCAUAACGGAAAGCAUUAGUCACACCCCUUAGGUCACUAAGAGCCCCAGAAAACAGGUGAUGUACCAGACUCAAGGUACAGCUGUGAACAAGUAGAAAACGGCCGCUGCAAGGGAACCAGCUUGAUAACCCGACAAUCCGAAUGGCUGAAGUAUAAUCAGUCUUAAGAGGUAGCCCCCCUGCCUCUGCAAAAAGAGGCUUAACAUCCAAAUCAUCUUGAGCUGCUCACCACCAAGUGAUGAGCAUUUCUGGCCACAUAGGUCGAUGAUGCUUACCUUACGUUAUGUGGGGACACCUUCAAAUUGUAAAAGUUGGUAGCAGGAUCCCGGCACCAAAUACCUUACGCUUUUUCUUCUACAGGGUUUUAAAACAGUGGAAACGCUCCCAACACUCCCCAAACAAAUUAUUUUAAUAUUACAAUAUGAAAUUACCAAACUCUAAUAAGACAGCCUUUUCAGAUUAUUCCAUUGUUAACAGGUCCCCUUAAAUAUCUUAGUUUACAAUCUGAUUGCAAAUGAAAUGGGAUUUUUCUAAAAAGGAGUUUUGGGGUAGCUGUGAUAACAGGCACAGAUCACUUUAACAAGCUAGAACUAUCAGACUGUUCUAUUAUUUGGCCAAUCUUUACAUGGAACUAGUCUCAUAUAAGCCAGAUAAUUACAAGUAUCAUAAAAGAAAUGAGUUGCUGCAUUGUCCUUCAGUUAAAAGAAAUAUUUUAUUUGUAAAUAAUUAGAGAUUUCACAGGAAAGUGCAAAGAUAGUACAGAGAGGUCCCAGGUACCCUUCACCAAGUUUCUUCCAUGGUUACAGUUUACAUAAUUAUGGUACAAUAUCAAAACCAAGAAACUGACACUGAUACAGUAUGUGCCUAUAGUUCUAUGCAAUUUUUUCUUAGUCCCCUAAUAUAUAUAUAGAUAUACUUUUAAAUUUUAUUUUAUUUAUUUACUUUUUAUACAGCAGGUUCUUAUUAGUUACCUAUUUUAUACAUAUUAGUGUAUACAUGUCAAUCCCAAUCUCCCAAGUCAUCACACCACCAUCCCCACCCCGCCACUGCUUCCCCCCUUGGUGUCCAUACGUUAGUUCUCUACAUCUGUGUCUCUAUUUCUGCCCUGCAAACCAGUUCAUCUGUACCAUUUUUCUAAGUUCCACAUAUACACGUUAAUAUACGGUAUUUGUUUUUCUCUUUCUGACUUCACUCUGUAUGACAGUCUCUAGGUCCAUCCAUGUCUCUACAAAUGACCCAAUUUUGUUCCUUUUUAUGGCUGAGUAAUAUUCCACUGUAUAUAUGUACCACAUCUUCUUUAACCAUUUGGCUGUCAGUGGGCAUUUAGCUUGCUUCCAUGACCCGGCUAUUGUAAAUAGUGCUGCAAUGAACAUUGGGGUGCAUGUGUCUUUUUGAAUUAUGGUUUUCUCUGGGUAUAUGCCCAGGAGUGGGAUUGCUGGGUCAUAUGGUAAUUCUAUUUUUAGUUUUUUAAGGACCCUCCAUACUGUUCUCCAUAGUGGCUGUAUCAAUUUACAUUCCCACCAACAGUUCCCUUUUCUCCACACCCUCUCCAGCAUUUGUUGUUUGUAGAUUUUCUGAUGAUACCCAUUCUAACCGGUGUGAGGUGAUACCUUAUUGUAGUUUUGAUUUGCAUUUCUCUAAUAAUUAGUGCUGUUGAGCAGAUUUUCAUGUGCCUCUUGGCCAUCUGUAUGUCUUCUUUGGAGAAAUGUCUAUUUAGGUCUUCUGUCCAUUUUUUGAUUGGGUUGUUUGUUUUUUUAAUAUUGAGCUGCAUCAGUUCUGUGUCAUUUUAUCACAUGUGUAGAUUUGUGUGACCACCACUGCAAUCAGGAUACAGGUGUACCAUCUCUCACAUGCUACCCCUUUAUAAUCACACCCAGCCUUUUCUCCGCAACCAUCCCUAACCUUGGCACUACUAAUCUGUUUUCCAUCUCUCAAAAUUUUGUCAUUUUGAGAGUGUUAUAGAAAUGGAAUUAUGUAGUAUGUGACCUUUUGAAAUUGGCUUUUUUCAACCAGCAUAAUGCCCUUGAGAUUCAUCCAAAUUGUUGCAUGUGUAAAGAGUUUAUUCUCUUUUAUUGCUGAGUAAUAUUCCAUAGCAUGGGUGUACCAUUGUUUUAUGGAGGGACAUUUUGGUUGUUUUCCAUUUCUAGCUAUUACAAAUAAAGCUGCAAUGAGCAAUGUGUACAGAUUUUUAUGUAGACAUAAGUUGUCAUUUCUCUGGAGUAAAUUAUCAGGAGUAUAAUUUCUGGAUAACCAUAUACUUAGUUUUUAAAGAAAUGGCCAAACUAUUUUCCAGAAUGCUCUUAGCAUUCUGUGUUCCUGCAAACAAUGGAUGAGUGAUCUAGUUUCUCUGCAUCCUCGCCAGCAUUUGGUGUUGUCACUACUUUUUAUUUUAGCUGUUCUUAUAGGUAUGUAGUGAUA
Long non-coding RNA from Balaenoptera ricei (Rice's whale), 3176 nucleotides. RefSeq lists it as uncharacterized. The record is from RefSeq and is a predicted model, not a curated record. Lineage: Eukaryota; Metazoa; Chordata; Mammalia; Artiodactyla; Balaenopteridae. The transcript is spliced from 4 exons.